Molecule: ribosomal RNA, 497 nt
Filed under: uncultured bacterium
Lineage: Bacteria
Description: partial 16S ribosomal RNA
Rfam family: Bacterial small subunit ribosomal RNA
Source: RNAcentral
GACGAACGCUGGCGGCGUGCCUAAUACAUGCAAGUUGAGCGCUGAAGGUUGGUACUUGUCCCAACUGGAUGAGCAGCGAACGGGUGAGUAACGCGUGGGGAAUCUGCCUUUGAGCGGGGGACAACAUUUGGAAACGAAUGCUAAUACCGCAUAAAAACUUUAAACACAAGUUUUAAGUUUGAAAGAUGCAAUUGCAUCACUCAAAGAUGAUCCCGCGUUGUAUUAGCUAGUUGGUGAGGUAAUGGCUCACCAAGGCGAUGAUACAUAGCCGACCUGAGAGGGUGAUCGGCCACAUUGGGACUGAGACACGGCCCAAACUCCUACGGGAGGCAGCAGUAGGGAAUCUUCGGCAAUGGACGAAAGUCUGACCGAGCAACGCCGCGGGAGUGAAGAAGGUUUUCGGAUCGUAAAACUCUGUUGGUAGAGAAGAACGUUGGUGAGAGUGGAAAGCUCAUCAAGUGACGGUAACUACCCAGAAAGGGACGGCUAACUACGUG